This 516-nucleotide ribosomal RNA is filed under the name uncultured bacterium. Its description in RNAcentral is "partial 16S ribosomal RNA". It matches the Rfam family "Bacterial small subunit ribosomal RNA", at positions 28 to 523 of the family's 1533-position model. The record is from RNAcentral.
GAUGAACGCUGGCGGCGUGCCUAAUACAUGCAAGUCGAACGCAUUGAGAGAAGUGCUUGCACUAUUCAAUUUGAGUGGCGAACGGGUGAGUAACACAUGGGCAACCUACCUGAUAGCGGGGGAUAACGAGUGGAAACAUUCGCUAAUACCGCAUAACAAUAGAGAAGGCAUCUUCUUUAUUUAAAAGGCGCUUUCAAGUGACACUAUCAGAUGGGCCCGCGGUGCAUUAGUUAGUUGGUGGGGUGAAGGCCUACCAAGACGAUGAUGCAUAGCCGAGUUGAGAGACUGAUCGGCCACAUUGGGACUGAGACACGGCCCAAACUCCUACGGGAGGCUGCAGUAGGGAAUCUUCCACAAUGGACGAAAGUCUGAUGGAGCAACGCCGCGUGUGUGAUGAAGGCUUUCGGGUCGUAAAGCACUGUUGUAUGGGAAGAAAUGCUAGGCUAGGAAAUGAGCUUAGUUUGACGGUACCAUACCAGAAAGGGACGGCUAAAUACGUGCCAGCAGCCGCAGUAA